UCGCCGCGGCCGCGCUGCGUGCGCUCGGGCUGCGAGAACGCGCCCGUGGCCAGCAGCGACUGGGACAACGAGUACUGCAGCAGCGAGUGCGUCGUCAAGCACUGCCGCGACGUCUUCCUCGCCUGGUUGGCCUCGCGCACCUCCAGCAACAGCGUCGUCUUCGUGAAAUAGCCCCGCGCGAACUCGCCGCCCCCUUUUCCUGCCCGUUUCCCCCCAAAACGA
Nothoprocta perdicaria is the source of this 222-nucleotide long non-coding RNA. RefSeq lists it as uncharacterized. The record is from RefSeq and is a predicted model, not a curated record. NCBI's taxonomy places the organism in Eukaryota, Metazoa, Chordata, Aves, Tinamiformes, Tinamidae. The transcript has 2 exons.